Molecule: ribosomal RNA, 1254 nt
Filed under: Staphylococcus sp.
Lineage: Bacteria; Bacillati; Bacillota; Bacilli; Caryophanales; Staphylococcaceae
Description: bacterial SSU rRNA
Rfam family: Bacterial small subunit ribosomal RNA
Source: RNAcentral
ACUGAAAUCGAGCGACAGAUAAGGAGCUUGCUCCUUUGACGUUAGCGGCGGACGGGUGAGUAACACGUGGAUAACCUACCUAUAAGACUGGGAUAACUUCGGGAAACCGGAGCUAAUACCGGAUAACAUAUUGAACCGCAUGGUUCAAUAGUGAAAGGCGGCUUUGCUGUCACUUAUAGAUGGAUCCGCGCCGUAUUAGCUAGUUGGUAAGGUAACGGCUUACCAAGGCAACGAUACGUAGCCGACCUGAGAGGGUGAUCGGCCACACUGGAACUGAGACACGGUCCAGACUCCUACGGGAGGCAGCAGUAGGGAAUCUUCCGCAAUGGGCGAAAGCCUGACGGAGCAACGCCGCGUGAGUGAUGAAGGUCUUCGGAUCGUAAAACUCUGUUAUCAGGGAAGAACAAAUGUGUAAGUAACUGUGCACAUCUUGACGGUACCUGAUCAGAAAGCCACGGCUAACUACGUGCCAGCAGCCGCGGUAAUACGUAGGUGGCAAGCGUUAUCCGGAAUUAUUGGGCGUAAAGCGCGCGUAGGCGGUUUUUUAAGUCUGAUGUGAAAGCCCACGGCUCAACCGUGGAGGGUCAUUGGAAACUGGAAAACUUGAGUGCAGAAGAGGAAAGUGGAAUUCCAUGUGUAGCGGUGAAAUGCGCAGAGAUAUGGAGGAACACCAGUGGCGAAGGCGACUUUCUGGUCUGUAACUGACGCUGAUGUGCGAAAGCGUGGGGAUCAAACAGGAUUAGAUACCCUGGUAGUCCACGCCGUAAACGAUGAGUGCUAAGUGUUAGGGGGUUUCCGCCCCUUAGUGCUGCAGCUAACGCAUUAAGCACUCCGCCUGGGGAGUACGACCGCAAGGUUGAAACUCAAAGGAAUUGACGGGGACCCGCACAAGCGGUGGAGCAUGUGGUUUAAUUCGAAGCAACGCGAAGAACCUUACCAAAUCUUGACAUCCUUUGACCGCUCUAGAGAUAGAGUCUUCCCCUUCGGGGGACAAAGUGACAGGUGGUGCAUGGUUGUCGUCAGCUCGUGUCGUGAGAUGUUGGGUUAAGUCCCGCAACGAGCGCAACCCUUAAGCUUAGUUGCCAUCAUUAAGUUGGGCACUCUAAGUUGACUGCCGGUGACAACCGAAGGAAGGGGGGGAUGACGUCAAAUCAUCACCCUUAAAUUGGGCUACACAGGGCUACAAUGGGAAAAAGGCUAAACCGGGGUCAAGCAACCCAUAAAGUUGUCAGUCGGAUUGGAGGGAACUCCGAU